UUACUUGCAGCUGCAGCAUCUUCAAGAUUCACAUAGAAAUCAUGUGGAGCAGAUAAUAUAUUUGUAAAAAUCUGCCCCCCUAAGUUUUUUGAACAUGAGAAUCUUGAUGAUGCUGCAUCGGCAAAUGA
This is a non-coding RNA of Nicotiana sylvestris (wood tobacco), 128 nucleotides long. The record is from Rfam. NCBI's taxonomy places the organism in Eukaryota, Viridiplantae, Streptophyta, Magnoliopsida, Solanales, Solanaceae.